CGCACAUUGCGCCCUUUGGUAUUCCGAAGGGCAUGCCUGUUCGAGCGUCAUUAUCACCUCUCAAGCCUGGCUUGUUGUUGGACCCCCAGGUCCGGGUUCACCCCCGACCGGUCUCAAUAGUAAUGACGGCGUCCGUGGGACUCUCGGUGCAACGAGCUUUUUACGAGGCACGCACGGAGUCGAAAAGUCCCCCGGCACGGUCUCUCAAAAUCUUUUUUCUUAAGGUUGACCUCGGAUCAGGUAGGAAUACCCGCUGAACUUAA
RNAcentral lists this unclassified non-coding RNA (263 nucleotides) under Camptophora hylomeconis. Its description in RNAcentral is "partial contains 5.8S ribosomal RNA, internal transcribed spacer 2, and large subunit ribosomal RNA". Lineage: Eukaryota; Fungi; Ascomycota; Eurotiomycetes; Chaetothyriales; Chaetothyriaceae. The record is from RNAcentral.